RNAcentral lists this transfer RNA (52 nucleotides) under Lophogaster typicus. RNAcentral's name for it is "tRNA-Glu". The record is from RNAcentral. Lineage: Eukaryota; Metazoa; Arthropoda; Malacostraca; Lophogastrida; Lophogastridae.
AAAGUUUAGUAUAAUUUAUUAUAUUAUUUUUUCAAAAUAAAGAUUUUUUUUA